Ipomoea triloba (trilobed morning glory) is the source of this 1835-nucleotide long non-coding RNA. RefSeq lists it as uncharacterized. Lineage: Eukaryota; Viridiplantae; Streptophyta; Magnoliopsida; Solanales; Convolvulaceae. The record is from RefSeq and is a predicted model, not a curated record. The transcript is spliced from 3 exons.
AUUUGCCAUCUCCGUCUUCAUCGCUGCUCUGUCUAAAACUGACUCUCCUCCCUUUACCAUUUUAGAAAUCCAAUCAAUACUCUAUAUUCUACAGAAGCAUGGCGUCGCUGCGGUUAGACCCCCAAACAUAUUGCUGAUUUGCAUCCUAUUUACUUCAAUGGAGCAAAACCGCCGCCGCCGCCAAGCAAACGGUUGUCACCGUCGCAACAAUAACAGCCGCCACCUCCGUCACUAACACUUACUCCUUCACCUUCUGCCGUCUCUACCUCCUCAGCACCACCUCUUACUUCAUCGGUCUUCUUCUUCACUCCCUCCGUAAUCCUAGCCUCGCAAAACCCUCAAUCAAGACCAGCUUCAGAACCCCCAUCCUCCUUCGCUAGUUCCCGGCAACAACCCUCGUCUUCUAUGGCCAUAGAGACCCAACCUAUAACAUGCAAUUAGAUAUGGAGUAUCUAAAUGAUAAUCAAAAAAGAGAGAAGAGAUGGAUCUGCCUAAGAUAAGUAGAAUUUUAACUAAGAUGUAUUUUACUCCAAGUAUAACUCUAAUUCCUAUUUUCUAAAUAGUUAGACAUUCAUUUACAGAAAUUUAUUUUAUUUGUUCUGUGUACUUUAGAGGAGUGAAGAGAACCCUAUAUUUUUAUAUUCUAAAAGUAUAAAAACUGGGAUUGCAGUUCCUUUCACUAUGAAAUAUGUAAAUCUGUAUUAAUAAAGAUUUAAAAUAAUCCUUAGAAUUUUCUAACCUAUGAUAGUUGAAUUUUCUAACUUCCCCAUUCUUCUUUAAACUGUUUCUUGCUACCCAGAUGUUUUAUAUGAAAUUUGUAAGUGAAUUUGGAGCAGUACUGAGAUGGGAUAUCUUGAAGAACCAGUUCCUCUUAAAAUAAGUUUUUAAAUGAUUUUCAGCAUUAAUGACUCACAUAAUUCAAAGCAGUUAUAAUUCAUAUUACUUGAAUGUAGUUAGUUUGGAUUUUUUAUAUAAAUUUUUCCUCAUGUAUUUAUCUGUAAUCGUUUCUUUCAAGUUUCAACUUAGAGUUAAUGUUUCUGCUGUUUUAUUUUGAGUUACUUGAUUGUCGUUCAAAGGCAAUUUUCAAUUUGUUUGCUUUACAUGGGUCCAUAGUCACUUACAGCUUACUGAUAAAGUUACAACAUGGGGUAUAUAGUUGUAGAGAAAGUUAAUAUUAAUUCAAAUGCAAUAUUCAAUUAUUACUAUUUUCUUUUCAGUUUAUUUUAUGUUAUUUUAUUUUGGCAGGAAACUCAAAAGCAGGAGAAAAGUGAACUGCUUUUUCAACAGUUUGGUAUCAAUUACAAAAAAUAUGUUCAUGAGUUAUUUCAUCAGGGUUCAUGUGCUCUUCGGAAACAGGUACCACUCUCAAGUAUAUGCCACAUCCUUUGGGCGUUCAAAUGCUCUCCGGCCUCGCUUCUCCGAUUCUUCACCGCGUCUCCGGCUCUCCGCCAUUAGCAUAUCUGGCCUCCUCUCCUUAAAAUAAAUGUCAAAAAUUAAUGGAUUGAGUUCUAUUGUGAUUUUGAUGGGAGUUUCCACAAGAGCUUGGACUUAACAAUUGACCUCUCGGGUGCUUUGCUCAGAUUCCUCAGAAUAUGAUCCUAUAGUUGUGCUUCAAUGUGAACAAUGUGAAUGGGGCUUCAAUGUGAAUGUUGGGAUUUCACUUCUAAGACAUUAGUAUUUAUAGGCUACUUCUCACCAAAAUUUAGAUUCAAAAAAGAUGUAAUUAUUAUUUUUUAGCAUGCUUCCUUUUAUUGUAACUUGUAAAAGUAAAAAAUACAUUGGUAAUGAUAUUAAUCAAUUACUUCUUAUAAAGAGCAAUUAAUAGCAUUGGAAAA